This 562-nucleotide ribosomal RNA is filed under the name uncultured bacterium. Its description in RNAcentral is "bacterial SSU rRNA". It matches the Rfam family "Bacterial small subunit ribosomal RNA", at positions 337 to 916 of the family's 1533-position model. The record is from RNAcentral.
UCCUACGGGAGGCAGCAGUGAGGAAUUUUCCGCAAUGGGCGAAAGCCUGACGGAGCGACGCCGUGUGUGGGAUGACGUCCUUCGGGAUGUAAACCACUGUCAGAGGGAGAGAUAUUGACGGUACCCUCAGAGGAAGUCUCGGCUAACCACGUGCCAGCAGCCGCGGUAAGACGUGGGAGACUAGCGUUACUCGGAAUCAUUGGGCGUAAAGGGCGUGUAGGCGGUCUGGUAAGUCGGGCGUUAAAUCUACGGGCUCAACCCGUAGCCGCGUCCGAUACUGUCGGACUUGAGAAUGAUAGAGGAAAGCGGAACUUCCGGUGUAGCGGUGAAAUGCGUAGAUAUCGGAAGGAACACCAGUGGCGAAGGCGGCUUUCUGGGUCAUUUCUGACGCUGAGACGCGAAAGCCAGGGGAGCAAACGGGAUUAGAUACCCCGGUAGUCCUGGCCCUAAACGAUGUUCACUAGGUGUUAAAGGUAUCGACCCCUUUAGUGCCGCAGCUAACGCGUUAAGUGAACCGCCUGGGAAUUACGACCGCAAGGUUAAGACUCAAAUGAAUUGACGG